UAAAAAUGUACUGUGUUUUCACCUUUUGUUUAUAUAUAAAUGUUUAUGAGUAUAUAGGCCUAUCUAUAAGUGGAUAAGUCUGUAUAUGUAUAUAUAUCACACACACAUACAACCUCCAUGUCCUUGGGUCCUGGGUUUUUGAAGUGCUAAAACAUAUAAAUAGAAUAAAUCUUGCUGUGGAAAUACCAUGCUUUAGAACAAAUCCUUUUUGAUCCUGAUGCUUCUGAAAACUAGGUCUGACUCUGUGGGAAUUUUCCCAGCUAAAGAAAAUCACUUCCGUUAUCACCCCCACCCCCAAUUUGGCUGUUGAGCAUUUUACACAUCCCUGAUACGUUGUAUAUUGUG
Molecule: long non-coding RNA, 345 nt
Filed under: Androctonus crassicauda
Lineage: Eukaryota; Metazoa; Arthropoda; Arachnida; Scorpiones; Buthidae
Source: RNAcentral